This 462-nucleotide ribosomal RNA is filed under the name uncultured bacterium. RNAcentral's name for it is "bacterial SSU rRNA". It matches the Rfam family "Bacterial small subunit ribosomal RNA", at positions 917 to 1382 of the family's 1533-position model. The record is from RNAcentral.
GGGCCCGCACAAGCAGUGGAGUAUGUGGUUUAAUUCGAAGCAACGCGAAGAACCUUACCAGGGCUUGACAUACACAGGAAUACUUCAGAGAUGAAGUAGUUCUUCGGAACCUGUGAACAGGUGGUGCAUGGUUGUCGUCAGCUCGUGUCGUGAGAUGUUGGGUUAAGUCCCGCAACGAGCGCAACCCCUGUUGUUAGUUGCCAUCAUUAAGUUGGGCACUCUAGCGAGACUGCCGGUGAUAAAUCGGAGGAAGGUGGGGACGACGUCAAAUCAUCAUGCCCCUUAUGUCCUGGGCUACACACGUACUACAAUGGCUAAAACAGAGGGAAGCAAUAUCGUAAGAUGGAGCCAAACCCUAAAUAUAGUCCCAGUUCAGAUUGUGGGCUGAAACCCGCCCACAUGAAGUCGGAAUUGCUAGUAAUGGCAGGUCAGCAUACUGCCGUGAAUACGUUCCCGGGCCUU